CUCCGGGUGUGGACGAAAUACAAAACCUGAAAGGGGAAAUAGUCCGCUGUCUUGCGGCAGUUUUGAGCACCCGGAGUUUGCAUA
RNAcentral lists this non-coding RNA (84 nucleotides) under Bilophila wadsworthia 3_1_6. RNAcentral's name for it is "sRNA-Xcc1". It matches the Rfam family "sRNA-Xcc1". Lineage: Bacteria; Pseudomonadati; Thermodesulfobacteriota; Desulfovibrionia; Desulfovibrionales; Desulfovibrionaceae. The record is from Rfam by way of RNAcentral.